UACAGAGGGUGCGAGCGUUAAUCGGAUUUACUGGGCGUAAAGCGUGCGUAGGUGGUCUUUUAAGUCGGAUGUGAAAUCCCUGAGCUUAACUUAGGAAUUGCAUUCGAUACUGGGAGACUAGAGUAUGGGAGAGGAUGGUAGGAUUCCAGGUGUAGCGGUGAAAUGCGUAGAGAUCUGGAGGAAUACCGAUGGCGAAGGCAGCCAUCUGGCCUAAUACUGACACUGAGGCACGAAAGCAUGGGUAGCAAACAGG
Molecule: ribosomal RNA, 253 nt
Filed under: uncultured bacterium
Lineage: Bacteria
Description: partial 16S ribosomal RNA
Rfam family: Bacterial small subunit ribosomal RNA
Source: RNAcentral